GUGCGCGGCGCAGCGCGCGGCGUCAGUCUUGGCUGGCAGACUUUGUACUCUGUAUUCCGUACGCGGAACUCGCAGCGGCGCGAUCUUCGGCAGCCUAGUCAUCCACCGCCAUCCUGGGCCCCACGUGUUGCCUGACCAUUCCUGAGCCCAGGUGGGAGCCGUGGCUGAGGUGACGGUCUCAAAGUGGAAGAGCUUACUGUCACAGCAACUCUUUUGCAAGAUGCCCCGGCCAGGAACAGUUGCUGAACACCCCAGGCCUGCUGAGGUCCCUCCUUGAGUCUCAUGUUCAAGCAGUCUUGUGAGUAAAGCACUGGCUACCCCUUUUCACUUACUAUCUUUUCAAGGAUGUUCCACCACCUUGGAAAGUAAGAGGUAGUACCUUCUUCCAGAGCAGAGGGCAGGCAUUCUUGCUGUGCGCUGUGAAAGGGUAGAGUCCUGCGCUCCUUUCCUGUAGUAGUCCAGUGGCCCAUGCAGGUGCCUCUGACUCCCCUAUGGGAACUGGGGCAAGCUUGGGAGUGUGGUUGAAAAUGCUGAUACUCUGGCUAUUGCUAUUGCUUUGAAUAAUCAGUGGUCCCUUGUCCCUAAUCGAGGAAUUUUGUAUUUUCUACCAGUGUCCAUGAAACUGGGAGGCGACCUUGUUAGCUGCCAGUUCCUGACAGCCACCUCUCACCAGUGGCCUCACUCUGUGUCCCUGACCCAGCACAGGGCACAAGAGUGCCUGCCAUCCCUCAGUGUUUCUACAGCAGCAAUCCCGAGAUGCCAGAGCUAGAGGGGACCUGACCUGAGAGAAGAUACCUUCAGUGGCUGCCAGGCUGUUCCUUGGAACCUGUGCAGGGGUAAGUGUGCAGGAAGGUCUGACCUGGCAAGUCACUUGACUCCUGUUUUAUUUAGAGUCACCUGGCUAAGGAAAAGUUCAAAAACCGUCGCCUUAUUUUGACCUUCCCGUAUUGUAAGUCAGGUGAUUGAAUCCCAGAAAGGUUCAUUGUCUUCAAGCUGACAGUACUAUUUUGGGACAAACAGUUGUCUAGUGUUUGGACUCAUGAACGCUGAUUCUUGGGGG
RNAcentral lists this long non-coding RNA (1060 nucleotides) under Pongo abelii (Sumatran orangutan). RNAcentral describes it as "lincRNA". Lineage: Eukaryota; Metazoa; Chordata; Mammalia; Primates; Hominidae. The record is from RNAcentral.